CCUACGGGAGGCAGCAGUAAGGAAUAUUGGUCAAUGGACGAAAGUCUGAACCAGCCAUGCCGCGUGAAGGAUGAAGGCCCUCUGGGUUGUAAACUUCUUUUAUAGGGGACGAAAAAAGGGCAUUCUUGCUCACUUGACGGUACCCUAGGAAUAAGCACCGGCUAACUCCGUGCCAGCAGCCGCGGUAAUACGGAGGGUGCAAGCGUUAUCCGGAUUUACUGGGUUUAAAGGGUGCGUAGGUGGGUUGGUAAGUCAGCGGUGAAAUCUUCGAGCUUAACUCGGAAACUGCCAUUGAUACUAUCAAUCUUGAAUCAUCUAGAGGUAAGCGGAAUAUGUCAUGUAGCGGUGAAAUGCUUAGAUAUGACAUAGAGCACCAAUUUGCGAAGGCAGCUUACUAUGGAUGUAUUGACACUGAGGCACGAAAGCGUUGGGGGAUCAAACAGGAUUAGAUACCCUGGUAGUCCACGCCUAACUAUAGAUACUCACAUUGUCGAUAUACUAGUAGUGUGUGAGNGAAGANAUAAGUA
Molecule: ribosomal RNA, 527 nt
Filed under: uncultured bacterium
Lineage: Bacteria
Description: bacterial SSU rRNA
Rfam family: Bacterial small subunit ribosomal RNA
Source: RNAcentral